This 3687-nucleotide long non-coding RNA is filed under the name Equus caballus (horse). RNAcentral describes it as "lncRNA (ENSECAG00000057862.1)". The record is from RNAcentral. Lineage: Eukaryota; Metazoa; Chordata; Mammalia; Perissodactyla; Equidae.
GUGGCCGCUAGUAACGCAUACGAAUGGGCACCUGAAAUGUGCCUGGUGGGACCGAGCGAUUGAAUGCUAAUUCCGUUUAGUGCGGUCCCCCGACUGGAUCCUGGGACAGUAGUGGAAACACUGCUGAAAUCUGAAUGGAGCCUGGAGUGAGUGGGGAGUGACGUCACGGAGUGUUAGUUCUGGCAGGUGGACCACAGUAACGUAAGACGUCAGGGGAAGAGCGUAGGGAGUUCUCUGUACUUGCUUAACAUUUCUGUAGACCUAAAACUAUUCCAAAAUGAUGCUUAUUUUAAAAACUAAUACAAGUUUUGUGCUAGGUUUUUCCUAGACGUUAAAGUCAGACACUUAUACCUUCUCUGAUCAAGGACAAGAGCAUACUUGAACCCUUGUUGGUUCCGGCCUUCGUAUGUUUGGGAACCGCAGCUGGAGAGGAGGCAAGCUCUUCAGCUGCUCGGAAGCACGAUGGGAAGCGAAGGUACCUACCUCUGCCUGGUGGCCAGUCCUACACCCCUAGGGCCUUCAGCUACCUGCAGACACAAGCGUUGAGCCCAGCAUGAGGCCAAGGACCCGAGACACGGCUGUCCUGAUGGCCACUCCUCCAUGAAAAGGUGCCACCAAAGCUGGCGCAUCUUUGAGGUUCCUUUCAGCUCAUUCUGAAUGUACCUUGAAUUAUGAAAAACUGGUGGACCCAGGACCCCACAUGUCACCUGUGUUCUUCACAGCGCCCCCUAGUGGUCAACAGUAAAGAUGUCUCACUGUUUCCAUUUUAAUAAUGAAGAAAUUGAGAACUGGCUCCGCCUCACCGAGCUUCAGCAUGGCAGCCUGAGAUCCCGUGUCUGAGUUCUACUGUGCCAGGCACUGUCCUACAGUGCAGAAGACAGGCGAGGGCCCUGUCCUCAUGGAGUUUAUAUCCUUACAGAGCACUCGAGAGCAUGCAUCCUGGGGGCCAACAAACCUUCAUUCUGCAUCCCAUUUCUACCACAUCCUGGCUGCAAGAAUCUGGAGAAAACCUGCUCAUGCUUCCGUGAACCUCCGUUUUCUAAUCUGUAAAACGUGAAUGAUGAUUCUCACAGUGCUGGGGGAAGAAGUGUGCUUGAAAUUAAAGCAUUCAUUCUUAAGACCUGAUACACCCUGACAACUACCAUUUCCUGACACCCACCGUUAAUCUCCCAAGUGGAAGAAUCUUGAACCACAUACUGGUUGAGCUAGGAAACGGGGAGAAAAAAGACCUAACUCUCAACGACUUAAUUUUGAGACUCCAGCCAGAAAUUACAUAGCAACAGUAAACCCAAACCUGAGAAAAGUCUGGAACCUCUGUUUUGGGUCCCAGUUUUGUCCUUGGUAAAAGUCCAUAGGUAUUGAGGCUAAAGGUCAGCAUUUCCUGAUAGGAAAAGGAAACCUUGGGAUCAGUCAGUGUGUCUGUUUCAAUAGGAGCAUCACAGGAACCUAAUGAGGUCUUCCAGCUGUGUCAGGACCAUCAAACAAAGUGCAGGGAACGUAAGUGCAUCAUGACUCUCUGGGUUUUGGGGCUGACGGCAGCCACACCAGCCCCAGGGCCACGUGACAUCUGCCUUCCUGAGCAUUGUCCCUGCCGUGAGUAAAUAAUGGCUCCUUAAUCAAAACCAGACUGCGCCUCUUGGCCCAGCCAGCACCUCGCCGGCACCAGCCUUCCCCUCUGCCUGUGAGCUUUUGAGCCGGGGGUCCAGGGGGUCUUUGUCUACACGUUCCAAAGCCAGCUUCUUAGAGAGCUGCCUCUGUCUAGUUUCCUUCUCGGCACCAGCCAGCCCGUCUGUCGGAGGGCAGCAGGAAGUGGGGAGGCAAGAUGCUGAGGACCACCUCUCUGUCCCCAAUCCCAAGGGCCUGCUGGCCAUCUCUGGCCCUGCUCCGUUCUGUGGGAUUAUUCCAAGGCUGGGAUGUAGGGUGUGAGGAGAGAAUUUGAGAAGCAUUUGCUUCUGUGCUUUCUGGAAUACCCUUAAUGGUGGGGGAGAGUGAAGACACGCUCUUUUCUUAAAUAACACAAUUGACUGACUAAACCAUGUUAAACUCAGCUGACUUCAUGCCAGCUGGUCCUAUUGUCCUGGUGUGGGUGGCAGGGCUCGUGGAGCCAACCAGAAUGGCGUGAAGCAGCCUCCAGCAUCAGCCGCUUGGACCAGAAAUUCCAGCAACCCCUCGCCCCACCCCCAGGAGGGCUGCAGAGUCGCUGGGGUCUGCUGGACCACUUUCUCUGCUUCUUCUGAGACAAGAAGCUGGCAUCAGACCUUCUUUCCUGAGGGGGGCCUGGGCCCACCUGCGCAUUCCAAGGAGAGCCCUGCUUUCUCUGGGCUCCCGUUGGUACCCAAGGACCGACUGGCAGGAUCUGGCCAGCACGCAGCCCCUCCAGCAGGACCUCGGUCCCUGCCUCUGCAGGAGACACGAGUGGACAGACUGGGUCACCCCCUCUCACUGAGACUGGCGAUCCCACCUCCCACCUCCCCAUCUCCAGUGCCCACCUCGCGCUCUCCUGCGUCACUUCUGGCAGAACCGUCUCCCCUUGCUUGCUUGUUUGCCUGCCGAAGUGCCCGCCCUGGGGCUAUAGCACUGAGCAGCCCCCCAUCGCAAUUAGGAACUGCCUUUGAAGACAUGAACGUGAAAAAUUUGUGUCCAACCUCUGAGUAUGCCCCUCUUGUGCAUCCCUGGCAAUGUCACUCUCCACAAACUUAUUCACCUUUCUGCCUCAGUUUGUUCAUCUGUAAAAUGGGGAUAAUAGUACCCAUCUCACUGGCUCAUUGUGAGGAUUAAAUAAGUGAUAUUUUAUGAAGCACUGAGAACAGCGCUCGGCACCGUAGGUUGUGGUUGGCUAAAGAAAACCCCAUUAAAUCCUCACGGAAGGACUGUUGUCCUGCUCUUACUAAUAAGGGAACAGAGCUGGGGUCUCUGUGCCUCACAGAUCACGUAGUAAGGGGCAGGCUCCGAAUCCAACUUCUGAGCCCAGGCAGUCAGACUCCAGUGUCCGCCGCGCGCCCCGUUGAAUAUCGUGCCUCGCUGGUUUGAUGGUGACUUGGCGCAAGAUGGUUUUUGUCUCUGAACGUGAUCAUUUUGUGUUCUGCAGCCACACGAUCCAUCAACCUCAACACUAUCCCUUCAGACGACUGACCUGUUAGCCCAGGACUCCUCGGCCAGUCUACUGUCCUAUGAUUACCAACGAUAAACAAUGGCUUCAGCUUUCCACCAGUCCGUUAAACAGCGGGUGGCGAGAGCUGAUGUCUUAGGAAGGUGGACCGUGUUAAUCCCAGCCCCGUGCCAACUGGUCGUAUUGGAACAACUAACGUUUAUAUUGGACUUACUAGGUGUCGAGCACUCUUCUAAGGUCUUUGCAUGUGUAGCUUCUCUGGGCCUCGAUUUCCCCAUCUGCGAUACGGGAAGGGGGCGUUGUUUCGAGGAUUGAGUUCACUUGUCUGAGUUGCACAUAGUAAGAGGCAGAACUAGAUGUUGAGGCCUGGCCUUCUGGCUCCUGGUCUGUGCUCCUGACCAGCCCUCUUGGGACCAGCGAGCAUCCCCCCCCCAACCCUUCGUCUCCAAGUCUUCUCUGAAAGCCAAGUGCACCACGGGGCCCGGGCGAGAUGGGUGCGUCUGGCAGCGGGCAGUGCGUUUGUUAUUCCUGCCCCACCUGCUGGAGUGAGGGUGGCUUGGUCUGAAGAGGACAUUGAG